UUUUGGGAAUGUUCGGUUGGG
Molecule: non-coding RNA, 21 nt
Filed under: Caenorhabditis elegans
Lineage: Eukaryota; Metazoa; Nematoda; Chromadorea; Rhabditida; Rhabditidae
Source: RNAcentral